RNAcentral lists this long non-coding RNA (346 nucleotides) under Elaeis guineensis (African oil palm). Its description in RNAcentral is "long non-coding RNA (EGUI_LNC004710)". Lineage: Eukaryota; Viridiplantae; Streptophyta; Magnoliopsida; Arecales; Arecaceae. The record is from RNAcentral.
GGAACAGCGUGUGGCGACAGCUCCAUCACUAUUGCCGUCACUAAUACUUAUUAGAGGAUGGGAAGAAGAGGAGGGAAUGAUGAGGGAGGUGUUAGAAUUUGGCAUCUCAAAUUCGAUCCAUAAGAGAAAAAUCCAAGAUGAAGAAUCCCAACUUGCAGUGCAUGACAACACGGAGGCCUGGAGAGGUAGCACAUGAAGGCCCAUAGCACGAUGCAGCUCAUAGGAGUGUGCAGACCCGGGGAGGAUGUGUGGCCUAGGUCUGCAGCCACAACUCAGCGGGGCUUGCAGCGCACAGCCCAGGCAUGGGUGCGAGCAGACCAAUUUGAAUUUUCCAUGCAGUCCACAG